Cavia porcellus (domestic guinea pig) is the source of this 3197-nucleotide long non-coding RNA. RefSeq lists it as uncharacterized. The record is from RefSeq and is a predicted model, not a curated record. The transcript has 3 exons. NCBI's taxonomy places the organism in Eukaryota, Metazoa, Chordata, Mammalia, Rodentia, Caviidae.
GGGUGGGGCUUACUGUGGGCAGAGCUCGGUUGGAAGGCCCAGGGAAUACUGUACACAUAAGCCACACGUGUUGGACUGUAGAAUAGGGGAUGGGAUGGGGAGAUGAGGAGAGAAUCUUUAGCCGUGCAUGUACAGGAGAUCCGAAAGACUUCUAAACAUGGGUGUGGCUGUAAUUCUACAAGGUCUGUACCCUUCAAAGAUUCAUGGACCAGAAUCUUGGUCCUCAAUAUGGGAGUAUAAAAGAUGGAAGAACUUUUGAGAGGUGGAGUAUAAUGGAAGUUGAGACCUUCAUCUGGCAAGGAGAAAUUUGGGCUGCUUUAUCUUCAAUAUAUUUUUUGAUCAUUCCUCCAAGUAAAGAAUCUCCUAUUGCUACUACUGCCACCUCUCAAUCAGCUGCAAAUGCCCUUCCUGAACCUGCGUGAUCUCUGCCCAUGCAGCUUCUCCCACUGAGCCUGGCUGCACUGCACUGAGAACCAUCUUUGUCUUCCUCAACCUCCAAACCCUCACACUGGACCCCUUUUGCUUCUUAUGUUAGUAGAUUUCUAGGAAGAGGUUUGUUAGUUUGAGUCCUGGGGACUGAACCCAGACCUUCACACUGAGCUAUAACCCCAGUCCUUUUAAAAAUUUUUUUUGAGACAGGGUCUUGCUAAGUUGCUCAAAUAGAACUCAGACUUAGGAUCCUGCCUCAGCCUCAAGAGAGCUGGUUUACAGGUAUGUGCCACCAAGCUAGCUCCUGAUAGCUUGCUUCCUUAAAAUAAAUUCUUUUCACUUUUUUUUUUUUUUUUUUUUGUCUUUUUGAGACAGGGUCUCUCUAUGCAGUUCAGGCUGACUUUGAGCUUACUUUGUAGCCCAGGCUGGAAAUGAUCCUCCUGCCUCGGCCUCCUGAGUGCUGGGAUUACAGGUGUGAGCCAUCAAGCCUGGUUUACUCUUUUCACUUUUUUUUUUUUGUCUUUUUUGUUUUUACCGGUACCAGGGGUCGAACUCACGACUGCCUGCUUGCAAGGCAGGCGCUUAUGCUGCUGAGCUAAAUCCCCAGCCCCUCUUUUCACUUUUGAGACAGGGUUUCGCUGUAUAGCCCAGACUGGCCUCAAGCUCAUAGCAGUUCUCUUUGCUUAACCUUUCAAGUGCUGGAAUUGCAAAUGUGUGCUACUAUGACCAGCUUGGAUAGUUUUUAAGUGACUUAUUUAGGAAAGAAUGAAGAAAAGGAGAAAGGGAGGAAAGGAGAGAAAAAGGGAAGGAUUAGGGAACUACAAAGUAGUUGUCUCCAAACAACAAAACAGGAAUGUUGGGUGUGAUGGCACACUCCUGUAUUUUCAGCACUCGGAAGGCUGAGACAAGAGGAUCACAAGAGUAUUGCUGUGAAAUUAAGGUCAGCCUGAAAUACAUAGGGAGCCUACAGUCCAAAAAGCCAAAAACAAAAAGUCACCAAAACAAAAACAAAAAACCCACAAAACCAAAACAAAAACCAGCCAACAAAACAAAAACCCCUCAAUAACAACAAGAAGUCAGGAUUUUUAAAAAAUAUUUAUUUUUUUGCAGUACUGAGGAUUGAACCCAGGGCCUCUUGUAUGCUAGACAAGUGUUCUACCAGCAGGCUACCUCAAGCCCUUUAUAUUUUAUUUAUUUAUUUAAAGACAGGGUCUAUGUAGUGCAGGCUAUCCUUGAAAUUGCUUAUGUAGCCCAGGCUGGCUUUACACUUACAGAAGUUCUCCUGCCUCUGUCUUGCUAGGAUUAUAGACAUGUGCCAUCAUGCCUGCCCACUUUUAAGUUUUUAAAAUUUCAAGACAGGUCUUGUUCAGUUCCCCAACCUGGUCUUGACUUGUGAUCCUCCUGCUUCAGCUGCCUGCAUGAGCUACAGUCUUAAUUCUUUCAUAUUUUUUAAGUUUUGUUGCAAAGUCUUGCUAAAUUGCCCUGACUGGGUUUGAAUUUACAAUCUUGACUCAGCUUCUCAGAGUGCUGGGAUUACAGGCCUGCACUACCACAUCUGACUCAUACAAAAUUUUUUAGGCCACCUCUUUGAAUGAGAUUCAUCACAUGAGGUCAGGUGUGUAUUUUCCACUGUGGCAUCAUGCUGGUGCUCAACAAAUUUUGGAUUUUUGGGUAUUUCAGAUUAGGGGAGCUCAACCUAUACUUAUGAUAGAGGAAGUGAUAUAAUGAACAUAUGUACAACCACACAGAAGGUACAAACAAACUUUAGAGGGAUUGACAGACUUUUUUAUUUUUGGCAACAUGGAAUAUUAAACCAAGGGCCUCAUACUUUCCAGGCAAGUGUUCUAUCACUGAGCUACACUCUCAGUCCUUUUUAUUUUAUUUUUUUAAUGUGGAGAUAAAGUCUUGAUAAGUUACCCAGACUGGUCUAGAAUUUGCAAUUUUGACUCAGCCUCUUGAAUAGCUGCGAUUAUAAGCAUGUUCCAUCAUACCUGGCUAAAAUUAGGCUUUUUGUUUGUUUUUUUGAGAUAGGGUUUCAAUAUGUAAUUCAGGCUGACUUUGAACUUCUCAUCUUCUUGCCUUAGCCUAAUAAAGUCUGAUUGAACUGUUUUAAUGAGUAAAUAUGAGAUUUGGAGUGGAAAAGAUUAAGAUUCUUUUAUUUUUUUUCCUUUUCUCUUUUGGUCUCCGGACUCAAAUUCAUGGUCUCAUGCUUGCUAGGCAGAUGCUGUACCACUGAGCUACCUCCCAGCCCACCUUUUUUUUUUUUUAUUACUGUGGAUCAAAUUCAGGACCUUGCACAUGCUAAGCAGGUAUUCUACCAUUGAGCUAUACUCCCAAACCCAGCAUUAUGCAUUUUGAUGAAAAAACUUUUUUUUUUUGGUCUUUUUCCUUUUUAUCGGUACCAGGGAUCAAACUCACGACUGCCUGCUUGCAAGGCAGGCGCUUAUGCCGCUGAGCUAAAUCUCCAGCCCCGAUGAAAAAACAUUUAAUAUCCUUAAUCCCUUUGCUAAAUAUUUACUAAGAAUCUAUAUUAUGCCAGAUACUAUGCUGUAUGCUAGGAAGGUAUGAGCUUCCCCCUACUUUUUUUUUUUUUUUUGGUGAGUCAAGAGCUUUACUAUAUAAUCCAUGGUAGUCUUGAAUUUAUAAUUCUCCUGCCUUAAUCUCCCAAGUGCUAACAUUAAAAGUGCAUACUAUCAGCCUGGCUAAUGGUUGGGCUAUCACAAGUGGGAGCACUAAGUAGAAGAAUGCAAUAAAGUGUUCUGAGUUUG